Molecule: ribosomal RNA, 497 nt
Filed under: uncultured bacterium
Lineage: Bacteria
Description: partial 16S ribosomal RNA
Rfam family: Bacterial small subunit ribosomal RNA
Source: RNAcentral
GAUGAACGCUGGCGGCGUGCCUAAUACAUGCAAGUCGAGCGAACGGACGAGAAGCUUGCUUUUCUGAUGUUAGCGGCGGACGGGUGAGUAACACGUGGAUAACCGACCUAUAAGACUGGGAUAACUUCGGGAAACCGCAGCUAAUCUCGGAUAAUAUUUUGAACCGCAUGGUUCAAAAGUGAAAGACGGUCUUGCUGUCACUUAUAGAUGGAUCCGCGCUGCAUUAGCUAGUUGGUAAGGUAACGGCUUACCAAGGCAACGAUGCAUAGCCGACCUGAGAGGAUGAUCGGCCACACUGGAACUGAGACACGGUCCAGACUCCUACGGGAGGCAGCAGUAGGGAAUCUUCCGCAAUGGGCGAAAGCCUGACGGAGCAACGCCGCGUGAGUGAUGAAGGUCUUCGGAUCGUAAAACUCUGUUAUUAGGGAAGAACAUAUGUGUGAGUAACUGUGCACAUCUUGACGGUACCUAAUCAGAAAGCCACGGCUAACUACGUG